UACAGAGGGUGCGAGCGUUAAUCGGAAUUACUGGGCUUAAAGCGCACGUAGUCGGCUGUGCAAGUCGGGUGUGAAAUCCCCGGGCUCAACCUGGGAACUGCAUCCGAGACUGCAUUGCUAGAGUAUGGGAGAGGGAAGCGGAAUUUCUGGUGUAGCAGUGAAAUGCGUAGAUAUCAGAAGGAACAUCAGUGGCGAAGGCGGCUUCCUGGACCAAUACUGACGAUUAGGUGCGAAAGCCAGGGGAGCAAACGGG
Molecule: ribosomal RNA, 253 nt
Filed under: uncultured bacterium
Lineage: Bacteria
Description: partial 16S ribosomal RNA
Rfam family: Bacterial small subunit ribosomal RNA
Source: RNAcentral